UACGGAGGGGGCUAGCGUUGUUCGGAAUUACUGGGCGUAAAGCGCGCGUAGGCGGACUGUUAAGUCGGGGGUGAAAUCCCGGGGCUCAACCCCGGAACUGCCUCUGAUACUGGCAGUCUGGAGUUCUGGAGAGGUGAGUGGAAUUCCGAGUGUAGAGGUGAAAUUCGUAGAUAUUCGGAGGAACACCAGUGGCGAAGGCGGCUCACUGGCCAGACACUGACGCUGAGGUGCGAAAGCGUGGGGAGCAAACAGG
RNAcentral lists this ribosomal RNA (253 nucleotides) under uncultured bacterium. RNAcentral's name for it is "partial 16S ribosomal RNA". It matches the Rfam family "Bacterial small subunit ribosomal RNA", at positions 524 to 776 of the family's 1533-position model. The record is from RNAcentral.